AUUGAACGCUGGCGGCAGGCCUAACACAUGCAAGUCGAACGCGUGGCGGACGGGUGAGUAAUGUCUGGGAAAAUGCGCGAUGGAGGGGGAUAACUCCUGGAAAAGGUAUCUAAUACCGCAUACCAUCGGAUGUGCCCAGAUGUGUUUAGCUCGUGGGGGGGGUAACGGAUCACCUAGGCGACGAUCCCUAGCUGGUCUGAGAGGAUGACCAGCCACACGGGAACUGAGACACGGUCCAGACUCCUACGGGAGGCAGCAGUGGGGAAUAUUGCACAAGGGGCGCAAGCCUGAUGCAGCCAUGCCGCGUGUAUGAAGAAGGCCUUCGGGGUGUAAAGUACUUUCAGCGAGGAGGCGUUACUCGCAGAAGAAGCACCGGCUAACUCCGUGCCAGCAGCCGCGGUAAUUC
RNAcentral lists this ribosomal RNA (406 nucleotides) under uncultured bacterium. Its description in RNAcentral is "partial 16S ribosomal RNA". It matches the Rfam family "Bacterial small subunit ribosomal RNA", at positions 30 to 526 of the family's 1533-position model. The record is from RNAcentral.